AAUUAAUUAUGAACAUGAUUAAGAAAGCUAAAAUCUCAGGAGCCAGGAUCUCAUUACCCAUUCAGUCUUAGGGAUUGCUUUCAUUCAGCAAGGCAAAAAGGCUUUGAGCAGCCCCACAAUUGCUUUUCUCUCAUUUAUUUGUACUGGUGUGAGGGGUUGCUUGUUUUCUUUUUGUUCUUAUUCUGACAUAUUUUAUCAGUUUAACUGUGUAUCACAGUGUUUGUUUUAUUUUUUUUUUCUUAGCUCAUAUGGUGCAAUGAAGUGCCUAUGGGGCCUAACUCUACAUAUGUCUUCAAGCUGCAUCUGUUUUUUUGUGUACUCCUCUGAGUCAAAGCUCCUGGACCUUCAAAAUGCACUUCAAGAAAUACUAUAGAUUGAGAAAUAGAUCUUAAUCAGGCGAAUGAUCAACAUGGUCAACAUGGUCUUGUUCCUGAGAUUUGCUGCUAGUCUACUCCAUGACACUCAUGUGAAUUUCAAGAUGUAUAUACCAAUGGAGGUUCUAGGUAGUGCUGUAUCUGGAGAUGAGUGGAGGGCAUUACAUGAACUGCAUUUGGAAAACCUCUGGAAUAUCCUGAUCUUCCUCUACAACUCAGAUCAUUCUUGGAAUUCAGAUUGCCACCUCUUAUUUCAUAUAAAAGGGUGGUUUAUUGCAACAGGUUUAUUGCAUUAUGAAAAGGUUUGAUGAAUUGCUCGUCAUGCACAUGCUCGUGAUGUCACAUGCUCCUUAUGUGCAUGCAAAUGAGACACAACAUGGCUGCUCACAUCGGGAGCUCCCUCCCAGUGCGGGUAGCGUAGCGUUGGUGGGGGGCAUUUUUAAAUUAAAAAAAAAAACUACUGUUAUCCCCAACCGAAAUACGGGCUCUAUUAGCCCAUACCUUUGGUUGGGGAUGACAUUUUUACCCAACAGGUGCCCUUUAAUCAUAGGCUUCAUAAAGGGAGUUUAUUCCUGAAACGCGCUAGGUGAUAGAGGUCCUUGACCUGUUAUGCAAUAAACCACCCUUUUUUUAUAUCCGGAGUGCCACCUAUCUCUAUUUGGUCAAGCACAGUUACCAACAGUGGGAAUGCUGGUGGACACCCGGGACACCAAAUGGAAACUAAUUGAGGAGCACAAAUGUGGGGUUCAGAAGCAAAAACAACAGAUUUUUUUCCAGUGAUUGCAAAUAUGGUAAGGAUUACCUUAUUGCUCCCUGUAUGUAAUGAUGAUAAAUACAAAAUAAUA
Long non-coding RNA from Xenopus laevis (African clawed frog), 1219 nucleotides. RefSeq lists it as uncharacterized. The record is from RefSeq and is a predicted model, not a curated record. The transcript has 5 exons. NCBI's taxonomy places the organism in Eukaryota, Metazoa, Chordata, Amphibia, Anura, Pipidae.